This 515-nucleotide ribosomal RNA is filed under the name uncultured bacterium. RNAcentral describes it as "bacterial SSU rRNA". It matches the Rfam family "Bacterial small subunit ribosomal RNA", at positions 501 to 1012 of the family's 1533-position model. The record is from RNAcentral.
CUACGUGCCAGCAGCCGCGGUAAUACGUAGGGUGCGAGCGUUGUCCGGAAUUACUGGGCGUAAAGAGCUCGUAGGUGGUUUGUUGCGUCGUCUGUGAAAUUCCGGGGCUUAACUUCGGGGUGGCAGGCGAUACGGGCAUAACUAGAGUGCUGUAGGGGAGACUGGAAUUCCUGGUGUAGCGGUGGAAUGCGCAGAUAUCAGGAGGAACACCGAUGGCGAAGGCAGGUCUCUGGGCAGUAACUGACGCUGAGGAGCGAAAGCAUGGGGAGCGAACAGGAUUAGAUACCCUGGUAGUCCAUGCUGUAAACGGUGGGCGUUAGGUGUGGGGACUGGUUUUGGUUUCUGUGCCGUAGCUAACGCAUUAAGCGCCCCGCCUGGGGAGUACGGCCGCAAGGCUAAAACUCAAAGGAAUUGACGGGGGCCCGCACAAGCGGCGGAGCAUGUGGAUUAAUUCGAUGCAACGCGAAGAACCUUACCUGGGUUUGACAUGCACCAGACGGUUGUAGAGAUACGUA